AUUGAACGCUGGCGGCAUGCCUUACACAUGCAAGUCGAACGGCAGCGGGGGAGAAGCUUGCUUCUCCUGCCGGCGAGUGGCGAACGGGUGAGUAAUACAUCGGAACGUGCCCUGUAGUGGGGGAUAACUAGUCGAAAGAUUAGCUAAUACCGCAUACGACCUGAGGGUGAAAGUGGGGGACCGCAAGGCCUCAUGCUAUAGGAGCGGCCGAUGUCUGAUUAGCUAGUUGGUGGGGUAAAGGCCUACCAAGGCGACGAUCAGUAGCUGGUCUGAGAGGACGAUCAGCCACACUGGGACUGAGACACGGCCCAGACUCCUACGGGAGGCAGCAGUGGGGAAUUUUGGACAAUGGGCGAAAGCCUGAUCCAGCAAUGCCGCGUGUGUGAAGAAGGCCUUCGGGUUGUAAAGCACUUUUGUCCGGAAAGAAAUGGCUCUGGCUAAUACCUGGGGUCGAUGACGGUACCGGAAGAAUAAGGACCGGCUAACUACGUGCCAGCCGCCGCCGUAA
This 508-nucleotide ribosomal RNA is filed under the name uncultured bacterium. RNAcentral describes it as "partial 16S ribosomal RNA". It matches the Rfam family "Bacterial small subunit ribosomal RNA", at positions 30 to 523 of the family's 1533-position model. The record is from RNAcentral.